Galeopterus variegatus (Sunda flying lemur) is the source of this 684-nucleotide long non-coding RNA. RefSeq lists it as uncharacterized. The record is from RefSeq and is a predicted model, not a curated record. Lineage: Eukaryota; Metazoa; Chordata; Mammalia; Dermoptera; Cynocephalidae. The transcript is spliced from 2 exons.
CAUCCAGGAGGCUUGGGUGGGGCCCAGGAAUCUGACUUUGUGUCAUUUUUCUGGUGGAAUUUUGUGCAGUUGGCUGAUAGGUACACAUUUCAUAAACACUGGUUUCAGAGCUGGAGAGCCUCAGAGCUAUAAUAAAAUUGUUUUUCCUGUAGGAAUUAUGUUAUAAAAAGUAAGGAAGAUGCUUUUUAUACUUGUAUGUAAAUUUUAUUACCAAAAUGAAAAAUAAUAAACUUUGUUGAUUAAAAAAGACAACAAACCUAAACAGCACUGAGAACAAAGGAAAAACUGACGAGUUGAAAGACAAAAGGAAAAAAUGAUGAUUAAGCACAUCAUCAAAAUGUGCUUAAUUAUGCACACUUCACAAUGGUGGACAGUAACCAAGAGGAUGUGACAUCAACUGUCCCCCUCAAACAGAGCCACUGGUGAUCUGAUGCUGGCCUACAACUGUUCACAUAAGUAAAGCAUAGGUAAGAUUUGUCAAAAGCUGCUAUUAUAAAUUUUACUUUAUGGUUGAUAAUAGAACAAGGACUUCUGGAACAUCUCAUGCAAAUGUAUGCAAAUGAGCACACUGAUGUAUACAAAAAAGCAAAAGCAAGCAUGAUGUUCUUCCCUGUUCUCUGCAAACAAGCUCUGUUACCUUAUUUUAAAAUAAGCUCUGCAAUAAAGUCACUAGAAACAAGGGUA